UACGAAGGGGGCUAGCGUUGCUCGGAAUCACUGGGCGUAAAGGGUGCGUAGGCGGGUCUUUAAGUCAGGGGUGAAAUCCUGGAGCUCAACUCCAGAACUGCCUUUGAUACUGAGAAUCUUGAGUAUGGGAGAGGUGAGUGGAACUGCGAGUGUAGAGGUGAAAUUCGUAGAUAUUCGCAAGAACACCAGUGGCGAAGGCGGCUCACUGGCCCAUAACUGACGCUGAGGCACGAAAGCGUGGGGAGCAAACAGG
RNAcentral lists this ribosomal RNA (253 nucleotides) under uncultured bacterium. RNAcentral describes it as "partial 16S ribosomal RNA". It matches the Rfam family "Bacterial small subunit ribosomal RNA", at positions 524 to 776 of the family's 1533-position model. The record is from RNAcentral.